GCUGUGAUGGCCGAGUGGUUAAGGUGUUGGACUCGUAAGUCAUUUCCCCACGCAGGUUCAAAUCCUGCUCACAGCG
RNAcentral lists this transfer RNA (76 nucleotides) under Papio anubis (olive baboon). It matches the Rfam family "tRNA". Rfam says of the family: Transfer RNA (tRNA) molecules are approximately 80 nucleotides in length. Lineage: Eukaryota; Metazoa; Chordata; Mammalia; Primates; Cercopithecidae. The record is from Rfam by way of RNAcentral.